RNAcentral lists this ribosomal RNA (253 nucleotides) under uncultured bacterium. RNAcentral describes it as "partial 16S ribosomal RNA". It matches the Rfam family "Bacterial small subunit ribosomal RNA", at positions 524 to 776 of the family's 1533-position model. The record is from RNAcentral.
UACGGAGGGGGCUAGCGUUGUUCGGAAUUACUGGGCGCAAAGCGUGCGCAGGCGGUUCGUUGUGUCCGAUGUGAAAGCCCCGGGCUUAACCUGGGAAUGGCAUUGGAAACUGGCGAGCUUGAGUGCGGCAGAGGGGGGUGGAAUUCCGCGUGUAGCAGUGAAAUGCGUAGAGAUGCGGAGGAACACCGAUGGCGAAGGCAGCCCCCUGGGUCGACACUGACGCUCAGGCACGAAAGCGUGGGGAGCAAACAGG